This is a long non-coding RNA of Neopsephotus bourkii (Bourke's parrot), 2689 nucleotides long. RefSeq lists it as uncharacterized. The record is from RefSeq and is a predicted model, not a curated record. Lineage: Eukaryota; Metazoa; Chordata; Aves; Psittaciformes; Psittacidae. The transcript is spliced from 2 exons.
CCGGGUUCCUCCGGUGCCUUCCGGGUGGGAUCUGGGAUGCGGGGGGUGCAGGCAUCGCCGCGCGACUGCGCUCGGUCCAAGGAAAACGCUUUAUCCGCUCCCCUCGCUGUUCUAAUCCCCUCGGUAACAGCAGGUCCCACGCGAAGCCCCCGUCGGGCACAGCCUCACGGGCACUGGGCCGGGGCCGGGGCAGCGGCGCAUCCGCAGCGUGGUCCCGGCCUGCGGGAUGAUGCUCGGUCCCCCCCCGGGCUCUGCCGGCAGCCCCGGCCCCGCUGACAUGAACUGAUGCUCCGCUUGUCUGUAUCUGAAUUUUAUUUUUCAGAAGCCUCAUCAGGAAUAGGGCUCGGGACAGGUAAAUGGAUUCUUGCCUCAUGGCUCCUGGAAGGAAAUGUAGCCAAAUUCUGGCUCGCUUCUUUGUCUUGAAACCACCAUUUCCUCCUACACCUGAUGAUAUUAGUCCCCUGCGCGGCCCCCGCGGCGGAGCAGCCACACAGGCCAGGGGGACACUGCACAGCACCCGCAGAGCUGGUGACCACAGGUAGGACCCCGGGGAGGGGGACAUGGAUGGUACCAGCCCCUUGCUGUCCCCUCGUGACCCGGGAGGGCUCUAUGCAGUGGGGAGCCGGCCUUCCUCCCAGGGACCCCAUCACGGGCUCUCCCCAGGCUCCAGUGGGUCCAUGGGGUCCCCAGGACCACCUGCAUGAGAGGACGUGACCCUGCACAUGCCCAGCGGUGGGGAGGGGCUGCCGCCGCGCUGCCAGGGUCUCACAGCAUCUCUGCUCCCCAGGGGCAGAGCCCCAGCUCCUGCCCGGUGCCUGGAGGGGAGCCGGGGCUCGGGCAUCACCAUCGCUUCCCCUACACGGAUGCUGGAGCCGGGCCGGCUGGCACAGAGCACCCCGGUGCUGGCUGCCAUGGGCUGGAGCCACUGCGGGGGACACGGCCGAGGAGGCGGCGCUGGGGACACCUGAGGACACGGGGCUGCAGCUACAAGGUGCUGGGUCCCCUUCCCUCCCGCUGCUCCACCCCAGCCGGACCCAGAGCACGGGAUCCCCCAUGCACCCUCCACAGCAGUGGGCAGGGCAUGGGCAGGGUGAGACCCAUCCCCUUCACUGAACGCAGUGUGUGAGGAGGGAGAAGGGAAAUGGGAUGGGAGAGGAGCUGUACCUGCUCCUCAAGGAGACACAAUGGCCAGAGUACAAAGGGACUGUGGCUGUUCCCAGUGAUGCUGCCUGUCCCUCUGUCAGCAAAUCCCUGGUGCUUUCUGCUCUGGCAGGGCCAUGUUCCAGCAGGGCCCUGUCUCUGCUCUGCUUGGAGAAAACACCUUGUGUAUGGAGCAGCCAGGAGCACAGGGAGGAACACAGGCACUGAGGUGCCCAUGGCAUGGCCUCUGUGGGGCUAUGUGGGGUGACAGUGGCCCCAUAAGUGGAUACAACCAUUGCGACCAUUGCCCACUCCAGUGAGCAUCCCCUGAGCAGGCAGGAGGGCUGAGGGCAGACACAGCUUGUGACAGGCGUUACAGCCCCUUGAAGUCCAAAACAGAGGCUUCCUUGUGGGGACCAGAGGGCACUCGUGCUGCAGGAGGAGGUGACGCAGAGGGACAUGGGGUGACCUGGCUGCCCCUUUGCUCAGCCUUAUCUCUCAGGGUACGGUGCAGAGCCUGCUCCUGCUCCUGCAAUGAGCACUGCUCAGCCACUGCAGGCAGGACAAGGGCUUUCCUCUGCUCCAUGUCCUGGUUUUCCCCUCUCAGGCAGUGGGAGCUCAGUGGAGACCCAGUGCAGCUGUUGCUGUCUCUGCAAAAGCCCUGUUCUUGUAGAGCUGCCAUAGCCUCGCGCAGGCACCGGCAGUGAUGCUCUCACCCUUUCCCUCCAUGCUUCUUCCAGCUCCUUUAGUUCCCUUACCCUGGAGCCUUGCAGUGCAGUGCGGGAUUGCCUCUCUCUGCUGCCCAUCUUCUCCAGUGCUGGGGGUGGGAGACACGUGUUGUGUGGGGCAUGGGCUCCUCGGGGUGCAGGACGCCCGGGGCAGACCCCUGUGAAGCAGGAUCCAUGGCACAGGCUAAACCCUCCACUAACACCUUCCCCACCCUGGUGACCCAGACCCCUGGUUCCAAGCAGCCCCAUCCCUGGGCAGGGUGCUGGGGAGCGGGCUGGGCUCUGCAUGCUGCCCUUGCUCGGGUGCUGAGCACUAACCCACUAACCGGCCAGCGCAUGCCCUACUAACACCGUGUCUCGCCUCCCACUAACCCCGGCCAGCACUGGCUUCAAAGGGGAACGGAAAAGCUGGGUCAGUGAUGUGAGAGGUGCUGGUGCAGGCAGGGCCGCGCAGCCCCUGCCCGCAGGAGGUGAGGUUCCUGCUGGCUCUGCCUGUGGAGCUGCUGCUGACUCGGAGCCUGAACCGGUUUUAUCAGCAGAAGCUUUUCAGUUCCUUUUUAAGCCAGUGGCCCUAAUGUUCCCGAACCGAAUUAAACUAACCCUGCUGCUUUUCUCUUCAUUUCUUUUCCAGCGUGUGUGGUCCUCUAAGAGCGGCUGUGCCAUGCUUCUGUCACUAACCACCUAUACUAACUGCUCCUGACUUGUUCCUCCACUGCUACUAACAAAUACUCUUUGCACUUUAACUCUCGGGCGCUCUUCGCCAUGACACGAACAGUGGCCUCCUCCUGGAGCCCUGGGCUUCAGUGCAGCUGAGCAUCUUU